CAGUCGCCACGGGAAUACAGAGGGUGCGAGCGUUAAUCGGAUUUACUGGGCGUAAAGCGUGCGUAGGCGGCUUCUUAAGUCGGAUGUGAAAUCCCUGAGCUUAACUUAGGAAUUGCAUUCGAUACUGGGAAGCUAGAGUAUGGGAGAGGAUGGUAGAAUUCCAGGUGUAGCGGUGAAAUGCGUAGAGAUCUGGAGGAAUACCGAUGGCGAAGGCAGCCAUCUGGCCUAAUACUGACGCUGAGGUACGAAAGCAUGGGGAGCAAACAGGAUUAGAUACCCCGGUAGUCCCUGUCUCUUAUAA
This 301-nucleotide ribosomal RNA is filed under the name uncultured bacterium. RNAcentral describes it as "partial 16S ribosomal RNA". It matches the Rfam family "Bacterial small subunit ribosomal RNA", at positions 509 to 809 of the family's 1533-position model. The record is from RNAcentral.